Molecule: unclassified non-coding RNA, 315 nt
Filed under: uncultured fungus
Lineage: Eukaryota; Fungi
Description: partial contains small subunit ribosomal RNA, internal transcribed spacer 1, and 5.8S ribosomal RNA
Rfam family: Eukaryotic small subunit ribosomal RNA (bases 1-73)
Source: RNAcentral
ACAAACUUGGUCAUUUAGAGGAAGUAAAAGUCGUAACAAGGUUUCCGUAGGUGAACCUGCGGAAGGAUCAUUAACGAGUUAGGGUCCCUCUGGCCCGACCUCCUAACCCUAUGUUUUCUUGACCGAUGUUGCUUUGGCGAGCCCGCCCAUUUGCGGCCGUCGGGGGACUGGCAUCGUCCCUUGGCCCGUGCUUGCCAAUAGCCUAAUUUUUCAAAACUCCUCAAUUAAACGUGUCUUGUCUAAGUAUUAAAUUGUAAUUGAAGCAAAACUUUCAACAACGGAUCUCUUGGUUCUGGCAUCGAUGAAGAACGCAGC